UUAGACCCCUAAGACCCUUACAUCAACAACGGCGCUCUCUAUCUUCAGCGAAAACCAGAGAAGGCCGACCCCCCUCCCACCAUACACUCUACUCCUCUCGUUCACUCACCCUCCUAGAUUCAAGCCUAUUCACACUCACCUUACAAUCUGAACCUCAUUCUCAUGCCUUCCCUGAGUUGAAGUAAAAAUCCCGAAAUUUAAGAAACUAGAAAGACAGAGAUCUAACACACACAAAAAGCUUCGAACAAGAGGAAUGAAAGGGAUCUAGAUAGCCGCCUCAAUUUUUGCUUGUUUUGCACUACAUUUUCUGAAACUUCUAAGGCGUAACCGGGCUAGAACUAUCUUAUUCCUACUACUCCAAUUUUCUCAGUUUUUGUUUUCGAAGCUGGUUCGAUUUGGGAUUCUGCUACUGCUCUGCCUGGAAAUCUUUUGCUGAACACCAUCAUUUGGAUUCAAGAUCUUUAUUUGGUCAAAUCAAUUGUUCUUUUCGCUAUCGGAAAUAAUCUGCUCUCAUGCAACCAAGUGAAGCAAUAUCUGCUGAGCCUGUGCAUCACUUCGCGCGCCUCCUUUCAAACUGCAUCCGAACUAAUGAUCUCAAGCUUGGGAGACUCAUACACUCCCGUCUGAUCAAGACGGCAUUAACCUUUAACACAUUCCUCGCCAACCGUCUGAUAUACAUGUACUCUAAAUGCUGUUCCAUAGAGUAUGCGCAACAGGCCUUUAAUGAACUGUCAGACAAGAACGCCCAAUCUUGGAACACAAUGCUGUCAGCUUACUCUCAAAAGGGUCUUUUUGAGAAAACCUUCCAGCUGCUCGAUGUAAUGCCUGAUCCAAAUGCUGUGAGCUAUAACUCAAUCAUUUCAAGCUUAACUCAUCACGGGUUCCCUAGAAAAGCUAUGGGUUUUUUCAAAAGAAUGCAAACUCAACGUGGGAAUGGGUUUUUGAUUGACGAGUUCACGGUUGUUAGCGUGGUAAAUACUUGUGCAGGUUUGGGUGCAUUGAACUUGUUGCGUGAAUUGCAUGGGUUAGCAACUGUGAUUGGUGUGAUGUUUAAUCUUGUGGUUUGCAAUGCACUUAUUGAUGCUUAUGGGAAAUGUGUCAAACCCGGGUACUCUUAUUCUAUUUUCUGUCAAAUGCGCGAGACUGAUGUAUUCUCGUGGACUUCGCUGUUGGUUGCUUAUAUACGUGCGUCUAGAAUGGCAGAUGCGUGCUCACUUUUUGAUCAUAUGCCGAUCAGAAAUGUGGUGGCUUGGACUGCUCUGAUCACAGGGUUUGCGCAAAAUGGAGAAGGAGAUAAGGCUUUGUGUACUUUCAAGGAAAUGCUGGAAGAAGGUAUUGUACCGCGUGCAUCCACUUACGUUGGUGUCCUAAGUUCUUGUGCAGACAUACCUCUUAUUGAAAAAGGUAAGCAAGUUCAUGGACACAUUUUUAGAUGUACAUGUUUAAUUGAUUUGCAUAAUAUUUUUGUAGUUAAUGCUUUGGUUGACAUGUAUUCUAAAUGUGGAGACAUGAUAUCUGCUAUGAGAUUGUUUGAGAGGUUAGAUGGGAAGGAUCGAGUUACUUGGAACUCGAUAAUAAAUGGAUUUGCUCAAAAUGGGAAUGGAGUGAUGUCUUUGUUCAUGUUUGAGAAAAUGAUUGAAACAGAUACAACACCAAACCAUGUAACUUUUCUUGGGGUUUUAUCUGCCUGUAGCCACUGUGGUUUAUUACCUGAAGGAUUUCAAUAUCUCCAUUCAAUGGAGAGGAAAUACGGUAUAGUACCCCAGUUGGAUCACUAUGCCAUCUUGAUUGAUUUACUUGGACGGAAGAAUAUGCUUGGAGAAGCUGCGGAUUUGAUCAAGAGAGCUCCUUGGGGAAGAGACAAUAUUGGAAUGUGGGGCGCACUUUUGGGUGCUUGCAGGGUACAUGGGAACUUGAAACUUGCUAGAAGGGUGGCAGAAGAUCUAUUUGAGCUGGAACCUGAUAAUGCUGCCAGGUAUAUUAUGUUAUCCAACAUCUAUGCAGCAGCAGGAAGGUGGGGUGAUGCCCGCACUCUGCGAAGGUACAUCUAUGACAGAGGAUUGGUGAAAGAAACAGCUUAUAGUUGGAUUGAGAUAAACAAUAUCAGACAUAAAUUUAUCGCUAAAGACAAGUCCCACAGUCGGUUAGAAGAAAUAAAAGAGUUGCUGCUUAAACUCGUAGAUCCAAUGAAGGAUGCUGGAUACAUAUUUCAAAUUGAAUGCUCAUACUUUCUUGUAGAUGAUGCAUUUUGUUGACAUAAUUGAAACAGGUAGUAACCAUGUAUAACAGUUUCUAAUUUAACAAUUAAUAUGAGCUCUGGUGGUUGGUUACCUGCUUUGCUGAAAAUUUGGGAAAGGAAAAGUGAGGGAGAAAUUUUAUUUUUCAAGAUAUUACUCCAUCACUUACACUAAAGAUAAGAAACAUGAUCAUAAAAUGUGAGGCACUGUAAUUCAAUCCUUGCUGCUUGAAGCUUCAGAGAUAUUAAUGUUACGAGCAGCAGAUAGAUCCAUCAUUAACGUGCCUGUACUCACCUCUUUGGUGCACAGGUAAUGUUUCUGUGCCUUGAUUUAGUGCUUUUCAUUUUGGUAAGAAAAAUCUGAAUGUUCUUUCACAUGGACCUGUUAACUAUCACAACCUAUCAUAUUUUAUGAACAACUGGCUUCAUGUUGUUCGUUCGAAGAUCCCAUUCCCACCAUCCAAAUGUUUCUUAAGGGAAAAAUGGUAUCGAUGCCAUUCCUACACUUCUCCUCAAUCAUGAGCUAUUUAAAAUUCUUAAUGUUGUUAAGUGCCUCAACAUAUCUAUAUUAUUAGAACUAUAUUCUUUUUGACAGCUAAUUUUCUCUCAGUCAUUGCUAUUGAUGGCAGGUUACUGAAUAGGCAUUCCUUGAGUUAAGUGCAAAACCAGUCUGCUCGAAGUUCACUGCAGCAAUAUUAAGAAACUGGGAUAGCCUAACAGGGAAAAUAUAAAUCAUGGGCUAGAAUAUUCAGAAGAAAAUAUUGGCUGCUAGGUUCUCCAUAAAGUGAGGAAAAAAGGUUUUUAGGGAUUUGAUAUGAGGAUCUUUUAAGGCAUAGGACCAUUUGCUGAAGGAGUGAGUAGCAUGUAUGAGGCCUUAAAGUUGUGAUUGGAGCUAAAUUGAAGCAAGAAAAGCCCCUAGGAGCCGAGUAUGUGGGAAGGCGAGAAAAAGAAGAGAUGAAAUGAAGACCUGGACUAGCGCGGCCACUAGCGCGUCUAUUAGCGCGACCGCGCUAGCCCAGUUCCGGAAGAGUAAAUUGCAGGGUUAAAAUUGGAAGUUCGGGGGCAAAUUCACUUAACCGAUAGAAGGUCUAGCUCGCCCAAGAGAGGAUUAUCAAGGUUUUCAUAGCUUAGUUCAAGGCAAGGAGAGGCAAGAGGCAAGGAGGAUAAUUCAACAUCGAGUUCUUCCUUUCCUUUUGUUUUUACGAUUUGUGAUGAAUUUGAAUGUUGUUAUGAUGAAUCCUAGUAUGAGUAGCUAAAUAUUUAGUCUAAGGUUUUGAUGGAAUCUAUUGAAGGAUGAACUUCUUGUUAUGUUAAUAUAGUUGCCUGGUUUAAUCUCUA
RNA transcript from Nicotiana attenuata, 3574 nucleotides. It is a transcript of the gene named pentatricopeptide repeat-containing protein At2g13600-like, with no coding region annotated. Lineage: Eukaryota; Viridiplantae; Streptophyta; Magnoliopsida; Solanales; Solanaceae. The record is from RefSeq and is a predicted model, not a curated record. The transcript is spliced from 4 exons.